This 189-nucleotide microRNA precursor is filed under the name Oryza sativa Japonica Group (Japanese rice). RNAcentral describes it as "MIR812 microRNA precursor family". It matches the Rfam family "MIR812 microRNA precursor family". Lineage: Eukaryota; Viridiplantae; Streptophyta; Magnoliopsida; Poales; Poaceae. The record is from Rfam by way of RNAcentral.
UAUAAGAUUUUGAGUUUUUGUUUACAACGUUUGACCACUCGUCUUAUUUAAAAAAUUUUAAAAUUAUUAUUUAUUUUAUUUGUGACUUAGUUUAUAUUAUCUAUAGUAUAUUAAGCAUAACUUUUCGUUUUCUAUAUUUGUAAACAACAUUUGAAUAAGACGAGUGGUCAAGCGUUGUAAACAAAAACU